AUGAUCUCUUCCAUCGGUCUUGUUUGUGGAAUCCAGUAGACAGACCAUUUUGCCACAACUGGUAGCACCAGUGUCUUUGAUUUCUCCAUCUAGAUUUCCCUCGGGCUACUCCAGCAUGGGGUGCUGCAGUGGCUGAUGGUUUGAAUAGGGCAGCAUUUGUUGUUUACUGGAAAAGCAGGCCAUAUUCUUUGUUUUUUUUUUUUUUUUCUUUUACUGAAAGGCAGGCAAUAUUUUUUUCUUCAAAUCCAAAUAUCCCCUCUUUCUUUUCUUCAGUCAACCAAAAAUUCACUUUCUCUUUUCUAAAAUAAAAAUGUAUUUCUUUGGCAUGUUUCGGGGGGGGGUACUUUUUAUUUGUUUGAUUUCUGAUUACAUUCAUCUUACGUAUUUACUCUGAAGUGGAAGUUUUAACUUUAUUUUAAUUUUCUGUAUUGGUUUUCCUUGAUACUUUCAUGAGUUUUCCAUUAUAUUUUCCAGAUCAAGUCCAGAAAGAAAUGGCUAGGAUGAUGGCUCUGUUCAAGGAUGAUUGGAGGAGAGAACAGUUCCAGAAUGGUGAGUCUGUGCUGGUCCAACAGAGGCCCUGCUCAUUGUGGGGGAGUGUCAGGGGAGGACGGGUGCAGGGGAGCUUCGCAAAAGGGAGACCCUCUGGCCCAAGCCUACUGACCUUUCCCAGAAACGUGAUGACCACUUUUCUUUGCACUAACUCUGACUCUGGAUGCAGCCAGAUAUGAUGGCAAGUCCCAUUGAUAGUUUUCACAUCAUUGUAUUUUUGGCAUGCUCCAUCUGUUUCUUUACCACGUGUCUUUGAUGCUCAGUGAUCAACUUUCUCAACACCAACCUACACAUAUAAACUUAUGUGUAAACGCCCCCUACAUGUAUACCGUGACAUCUUAAGGUUUUCAUUUCGUUGUUAUUUCAACUGACAUUUAUCAUCCUCGCAUGUUAUUCCUUGGAUUUUUCGUAUCCUUGCUUCUCAAGCAGAAAAUUCCUUUUCACCAAAUAUAGCCUAAUAAUAAUUAACUUGUAAAAUUUUGCUGAUUUCAAGUUUCUUUGUCCAAAAUAUUUUCUGUCAUUUGACUGAGAAGCCCAUUCACUGCGAAUUAAUUUUAUGUCUUUUCCUUUCAUCUGAC
This 1127-nucleotide long non-coding RNA is filed under the name Sus scrofa (pig). RNAcentral describes it as "lncRNA (ENSSSCG00070002076.1)". Lineage: Eukaryota; Metazoa; Chordata; Mammalia; Artiodactyla; Suidae. The record is from RNAcentral.